Molecule: non-coding RNA, 297 nt
Organism: Vicia faba (fava bean)
Lineage: Eukaryota; Viridiplantae; Streptophyta; Magnoliopsida; Fabales; Fabaceae
Source: the annotation of a GenBank genome assembly
AUGAAACACCAACACAUAAGGAAACAAAUGUUUUGUUUUUGCAAAGGAUCGCCCGACGACAGGAUGGAUCGCCCGAUGAAAAUUGUGAAGAAAGGGUGGAUUUUUUUUAUUCGCUUCUAUAAUGCUUCGCCCAUGGAUCGCCUGGCGAAAGAAGGAUCGCCCGGUGAAGCAUCCUUGUCGCCCAACGAUGAUAGAUACUUUCCUGCUUGUGUAUCACGUCUAACUUGUGUAUCACGUCUAACUGGUCACGUGUGGCAUCUAGCUAGCGUCACCCGACGAUGCUUUAUGGUCGCCUGA